Long non-coding RNA from Amphiprion ocellaris (clown anemonefish), 7791 nucleotides. RefSeq lists it as uncharacterized. The transcript has 3 exons. Lineage: Eukaryota; Metazoa; Chordata; Actinopteri; Pomacentridae. The record is from RefSeq and is a predicted model, not a curated record.
AGGUGAACAUCGGCUGCCCUCUUUGAAUCUGGACCAGCUGAUCUUGGCUGAAUUUGGCAGGCUGAGACCUCCCCAUGAACUCUAUGUCCAAUCUAGACCACAAGGUGGGGCUGUCAGAGGCUCAAAACGUGGUGCUGCCAGCUGGGCCCGCGGACAGAUUCCUCCAGAUGUGCUUCGCUCUGAUUGGCUCUCUGAGCUGUUUCCUCACUGGCCUCAGUCACCCUGUGUCAUAUUUCAGCUUUGAUACAGAGGGUCUUUCACAGUACUUCCAAGAAGGGGUGACCUGAUUCUGAAUGAUGAUGUCUGUCUUCCUCUGGAUUUUCAAACACCUACUUCUACUGUGAAAUGAGGAGACUGGUAUGGGCUUGUGGCCCACACACUCAGACACCAGCAGGAAUCUGUAGAGGAGCUUCAGUAACGAAACAGAAAAAAGAGAGAGUUGGUAAUUAAAGAGCAGCAGCACGCGCGCGCACACACACACACACACACACACACACACACACACACACACACACACACACACACACACACACACACACACACACACACACACACACACACACACACACACACACACACACAAGUAUACACAUUCGCAAUCCUUUCACUCGCGGAAGCAAAGAGACGAAAUAGAGAUGAGAAAAGAUCAAAAUAAUAAAAUAAUAGUCAAAGGUUGAAAGAUAAAGAGAAUGAUGUAUAAAAAGGUACAGAGACGCUGCCCUCUGUGAUACACACUGAGAUAUAGGUACUAAUUAAACAGGGCACUGCGCACACACACACACACACACACACACACACACACACACACACACACACACACACACACACACACACACACACACACACACACCAGACGUGCAGGGGCGGCUGAGGUUUUCAAAUUACAGCUUAUAUUCCAGGCACUUCUUUUCUUUCUUUCUCUGCCCUGAACAUUUGCAACAAACUUUCCACACAGGAGCAGACUACCGUACGAAAAACUGAACACUAUGAAAUUCAGCUCAUCUAUGAUUAAAAAAAAAAAAAUCUUUUGGUAAAUACUGAAUGAUAUUUUUAUGAAUCAUCAGAGUCUUUAGAUUUCUUACAACUUGGCAGCAAUCAUCAAAAAAAAAAUCUUUUCUCCAAAUACUCAACCACCAAAUUUUGUUCGUCAAGCUUAACAGAAUAAAAACAUUGGUUGGUUAGCUUAGCAUAAAGAUUGGAAGCUAUGGGGAAAAGAGCAAGACUCUGCCCAAAAGUUGCAAAACCACACCUUAAGACUAUUUCUAAAGAGUAAAUCUAAACUAUCUUGUUUGAACAAGCACAAAAAAACCUGUAGUCUCCAAGUUAGAUGCUUUCCUCAAUUCUCCAGUAUUUGUGAUGUUAAACAAUCCAGCUGCUGGUGGUUGCUUCAUAUCGAACAUACUGACCCAUUAUCUAACCCUCAGCAAGAAAGUGCAUAGGCAUCACAAAGAAUUAAACCAAUCCUUUGCUGUUUUUCAAGUAAUGUUAUUCCACACUGUCUAAAUCUACUAUAUACUCUAUAAUCUGGAUUGACUUGUUCAACUGCAACCACUGUGGCCACAGGUGGUAGUCUCAUACAGAGGCAAUUUGUACACAGUGUCUCAUGAGAGCAGAAAUGUCACAACAUUUGCCAACUGACGUGGUAAUAUGCACUGAUCAGCCACAACAUUAAAACUACUUACAGGUGAAGUAAAUAAUAUUGAUCAUCCUGUCUCGUCGCAAUGAUCUGAUGGGAAACCUUGGGUACAGGUACCACCCAUCUAAACAUUGUUCUAGACCAAACACAACCCACAUGGCAGAAACCUCUCCAUACAGGAGAAUACACCAUACAACACUACCAAAUCUGCCCAGGAAUGGCUUGAAGAACAUAGGAUAGAGCCCAAGGUGUUGACCAAGCCUCUGAACUCCCCAGAUCUCAAUCCAAUCCAAUCAAAUAUCUGCUAGAUGUGCUGGAAAAAGCCAGAUCCAUGGACCUUAUAACUUAGCUCAGUGUCCAGGUGCCAGAAACCACAUGUCAUUCCCAAAGCUCCUGUGUUCAUACCCUGGAUCAGAGCUGUCUUGGUGGCACAAUGGGAACCUACACAAUCCUAGUGGCUUUAAUGUUAUGGCUGAUCGGUGCAUGUUAAGGAUUGUAGAUACAGGCUGGUUGUUGAGCACCAUUAUGUUGGGUCAUGUUAGUCUAAACUAAUUAAAAUCGGUGUGUUGAAACUCACUGCAAUACCCAUCUAAAGUUUGGAACUAUUAACCUUUAGCAGCUGGUCAUGACCUCAGAUAGCCCCAGUUCAAGAACCACAACCCCUGAGUGUACUGAGGACACAUAAAACACCGAUAAUGAUGUUUUAAGGAGAAACUUGUGCUGUCGUAAGUUAGAUAACCUCCCUUUAAAAUCCAAAUAACUGUCAUUAUUGGCUCCACCAUACCAUCAAACUGACACAUUCCACAGGUGGUGUGCAUCUUUUAACACCCAUUUUCCCUAAAUGUCACUUUAUCGUUUGUAUCUUUAUAAGGUAAACGUAUCAGCUGAAGUUGUCACAUUUAGUUGUUCAAGGCAAAAGAGGAGAUUUACAAAAAGGCAACAACAUGAAUAAUUCUUUAGGUUUAUUUUUGUAUCAUGGUGGUUGGAUAAGCAGUCAAGCUCCCUCAAGAUGGCAAGAAGUGACAGGAAAAGGGACUAAAGGCACUAAAAGUGUGGUUUUAGCCCAAUUCAUCCCGUGCCGCAACUUUCAUCUCUACUCUACCCCCAGGAAGCUGCAGGCACUUGCACGAGUCUGUAAGUGCGGUGACAAAGGCAGGCUGGGUCAAAAGAAUUCAGCUCCCUCGUAGACUCGACAGGCCUGAGCGCAUAUCAGCAUGCUGAGGCCACCGGCAUUAUUCACCCUGCCGACUGACUCAGUAGCACCCGGAGAGGAAGGAACCGGGGAAGAACUAGUAAAAGACAGGCCAGGGUUUUUAAGGAGCCCUCAUUUACUUUAAGUGCUUCAAAUUAUACAACGGCCCGGCCAAGUUUGUGAUGUGUCUUUGUAUAUGUAACAUUCCCCUGCCUUCUCUAGCUUUUCCUGUAUCCCCUCCUACCCCACGUUUCUCAUGUCAUUUCAGUCAAUCUCCGUCUUUGCGUUUCUUCCUCGCUGUCUGUCUCGACUCCCUCAGGGUCACCACAUCUGCAGGCUGUUUCCACUGGAAUAUAUUUCUUAGGCGUUUAGACUGUAGCUGCAAGGAGGCGGAGUUAUUGAAGAGCUGGUCUAAUGUCAGAAUGGGAAAAGGGUGCAGAGAGGGAGUGUGGGGUCGGGGGAGAGUAUAAAUAUGUGUCAGGAAACACAAGUGAGCAUGGCGGAGAAGAUGAGUCAGAGAAAGUUCCUUCUACUCAACAACACAGUCAAAAGAGUUUAUUAUUUAACCAAACUAAGUCUCUAAUGAAAUUUCAGUCCCUUUGUAUUGAGCCUCAGAGGAUAUAUCAAAACUGAAGUUGCCCUGAGAAGAAUUUAUGUCAAUGAAAGAGCUAAAGAGGCGAGAAGGAACGUGAGAAUCGCUAAAAAACAUCCAAGUCAAGAGGAUAAAAAAUCAAAGUAGGGCACCUCCCUUGGCUGGGACCAACGUAUGGUUGGAUUUGCCUGUAUGUCCACAUGACUCACAGUCUGGUCAGCAAACGCAUAAUAAACGUGACAGAAAUAUCCCCACACAAUGUCACCAGAGUCCACGGCAGGCAGCUAAUUGCUAGAUAGAGCUGGGUCGUGGUUUGAGAGAGGAAAAAAAAGGAGUCCAACUCAUCGGAGUAGAGCAAAUGGAUAUCCAUAUACUGUGUGUAGUUUUACUUUUUAUCUUUUGAAAUGCUACAUCAAAAUAUAAACGGAACUGAGUUGUCAAGCCAAUGGUUUGACAGUGUUUGGUCAAGAUUUUGGUCGAUUUUUGGUGGUUUACUAAUGAGUUUAUGUUUGCAUAUUCAUAGUAUUGCUUACUUUGAAUAUAAUUCGAAAUGUAGCUGCCAUGUUUGUCAAUGGCUCUGAAUUGAAGACUAUAAUAUUGCCAAAGUCCUUAUAGGCAAGAAUCCCCACUUGGCAACCAUCUUGGUAAAUUAUCUGGCCAGUUAUUUUGGGAUAACAAGAUCAAGUCUCUAUCUAAAUGAAUAAGAGGAGAGUCAUAAUUGCAAUUUCAAUGGACAUAAAAACUGCAAGUAUAUAAUCAUCAAUUAAACCUGCUAAAAAAAAAUAAAUAAAUAAAAAGUUUGGUGACUUUGCCCCGAAGUUCUACUUUUACAUACUAUGCAUCUGUGCAGCUUCACAACACCAUGCUAAAGUCAGCGCAACAACACAAUUGGGUUAUUAUUUCCUGGUUCUGCUACCACAAAGUAGAUGAUUGGCUCGUUCGGGAGAGGGGCGGGAUGUGUCGGAUAAAUGCCAUCUUUGGCGUUGCAGGAUUCUCCCGAAGAUUUCUAUGCUUUGUCUUUCGCUUAUCCCAUCUACAACAUUACUUAAGAACUAUAUAGUUAACUUUGUUAUUAAGGAAAUCUUCCUGGCCAGUGCAAACCAGCAAAUAAAUUGCACUAAACCGCUAAUUAAUUUCUACUUUCUUGGCCACUAUGGUACAGUUGAUGCAUGUUGUCCCUUAAAGUCAAUAGAGAAGGAUAUUUGAAACAGUAUUCAUAGCAUAUUUCAAUUAAUAAUUACAUUGAUAUGUGAAUAUGUUAACUCCAGAUUUAGCUUAAUUCUUCCAUUUCAUAGCGCAUUUUAUGUCAAAGAGACAUGUUUUUAAAGAUUAUCUUGGCCUUUGGCUUCACUUAGAUGUGGAGAGAUACAAGAAAUGUGAGAAAGCUAGCAGUGGAAUGACGUUUUAGUCAGGAAAUCAAAUCAGGGACUCCCUGCUUGGUGACAUUUACACUUGUGUCAUAUGUGCUCUACAGCUAUCAAGUCAAUUCCAAAGAUACAUGUUAAGAGCAUUAAAACUAAAUUUCUGACUCAGUGCCUGGACAGUGUUAACUGGUUGGUCAGUCCAACACAUCCAGACUGGGAUAUCUCAGCAUUUAUCCAAUGAAUAUGUUUGGUAUGCUAUGCUGACGUGCUAAAAUAAGAUGGUGAACAUGCCAAACAUUUUAUCUGUAUGUUAACAUUAUGACUUUAUAUGAUAUUUCUGACAGUCAGGGCUGCUUGGAUAGAGAUAGAGACAUGGUGGACUAAAAUCCAUAUGUGUGAGGAGUAAGAAUUUAACUGUCAACAAUGAUUAUCUUUUGAUAAAUUCACAAAAAACUAAGCAAAUAAACCACAACAAAACACAGAAGGACAUUCUAUCAGACACUUCAUAGACAAAGGAUGCAUAGCAGACCUUCAUAUGCAUAUGCAGUAACGUUACACUUUUGGUGUCACUGCUACAGUUGCGAAUAUUCAUCACGUGAUGAAUUCAUUUUCUGGGUGAAGGUUGCUGUCAAACAGUUUUGCUGGAAAAUGCAUAAAAAUGGAACCAAAUGGUCCACUCACAAAGCAUAUUUGUAUGAUUUUUAAGUUUUCUGGGUCUUAACUACCUUGUUCUAAUGGUUCAACUGAAGUUUGACAUUUGUCUACAGUGAAUUUUACACCGAUAAAUUGUCAGCUUGUGCUCAUGAGAACGGUUCACAUAGAACAUGAGUGGGCUGCUAUGUUGAGGGAAUCAGCUGUAUCUGAUUAAAUGGUGCAGGUGAAUGAUCCAAGCAGCCUUCCUCCAGUUCAGUGAAGUUGUUGCGCGCUGGCUGUUGAAGGGUUAAGCUGAGCUCAGCUAUGGUGAGCAGAGGGGAGAGAACUGAAAUCUUUUCCAUAUUACAGCACACAUGAGGAACACAUUUAAGUGAGUUCAGCUGUCCAGAGUCUCUCUCUCUCUCUCUCUCUCUCUCUGGCUGGUUUGGGGUAAGUUCAGCACAGCCGUAUAUCAUUACACAUCUGGGAAAAUACACUCACAGCCCCGGAUGACACACCAGAAAAAAGAGAGACAAUGAGCUCCAUCCCUAACCAACCUCGGUGGAAAACAGGUCUGAAAAUGAAACGGAAUGAGUAAAGGCAAACCAAUGAACAAAGGAUCCUGAAUACUGCAGGAUACCCAAUAAAACUCACAUUGAAUGUGUUGGUGUGCAGCCAGCGGCGUCUUUGCACACUCAGAGAAAAAAGCCAGGCAAAACAAGUGAACAAGCAAAAACUGCGAAAUAACCAUUAACACUAAUAGAAAUCUGAGACCUCAUUUUUUUAGUUCCUCCCAUGAAGGCAGCUCCAUUAACUCCACCUCUUUCAAAUUUCUCCGGUUCCUGCAGUUUUAUUUUGGUAUGAUGGAUACCGACUGGCCGAGAUUUCAGGAGGGAGGAAUCUCUGCAGCUCUUUUUUCCAGUAUGGAAAGUGUUGCUUCCCUUCAGCCCCAAGUCCACAUACCACAAUAAUACUGCCUCCAUCAUCUCAACUACCUCUACAUAGUUCUCUUUCCAGUUUAACACUGAAAAUGCUACUGUUUCUUAUCCUUUUCACUUCUCUUCAUCCCUGUUUCUCUUCUUCAGCAUACCCACAGAUAAAGGUGAGAGUUCCUGAUGGGUGGCAAACAAGAGUUAUAGAUGUGAGGUCAAAGUUAGAGGUGAAAAAAAUCCUCUCUGAGUAUUUGAAGGCCCACACAUCUCAGCCCUCUCAUGCCUGACCUCAAAUCUAGCAUGUCCUGUGAAAGGCAGAGGAGGUAUUUAAGGGAAUCCCAACACAAAACCUAAAUUUUUCAUCCGCUUCCACAGUUAUAUCAGUCCCGCCACGUGUUUUCAAAUCUGCACAUUUCACUGCAUCGGCCGCUCCAAGGGCUUACAAGGAUUGUUCUCUCAAAGGAACCAGAACACAGAGUGCAAAAUUGAAAGUCUACACCUUUCUGUAUCUCAGUGUCCCAGGUGUAGAUUAAAAAAAUACUUUCUGUGAUGGUGUGGUACAUUUCAAGCUAAAAGUAAUCCGUUUUCUUUAGUAUUUGCUCACACAGCCAGUGAGUUUUUGUCGAGGAGAACCUCAGGGCCUGGCUUCGCUUUACGACUACUGCCAGUCACCGUGACAACAAGGAAGUAAAAUGACUCCUCCAGACCUCCUCCGCACUUGAAUGAUUUCACAGAUGGGAAGGAAGAAAACGGUCUGCAAAACAGUUGGAUCUUGUAAAGUCAGGAAAGACUUCUGAUGCAGGACAAAAGUUUGCACUGAUUUCAUGUUGUUGUACAAACUUCAGCUUGGCAAUGUGGGUUUUCAUUCUGGCGGUAAAUUCAUUAAUCAAGCUACGUAUAUGCCAUACAAGACUGAAAUCAAACAUUUAAACACAAUAUGGAAAGCAGAUUCAGGCCUAGUCCACACUUUUCUCAAAAAAGAAAUUGUAUAUUCACAUGAAAAUGCAGCAUCAUGAUACAAAUGCCGCAAAAUAUCUGCACCAACUUCUAACCCGUGACCCAACCCGAGGUACACUGGAGCUCGGUUUGAAGAUAAAGCUAAAGUUUACCUGAGUGGGAGCUGAAUACCUUCAAAAAUACUGUUUGUACUAGAUUUGUUCCUCCUCCUGAAUUUAAACACAUGAUAGUUUCUGAAUUAAAGUAUUUUGGUCAAGGUUUCAGUGGUAUGACAGUUUCCAUCAGUGAAUGGAGCUAAGGAGGAAGUCCUGUUAACAUGUCAUCAGUCUCUUAGGUUUGAUGAUUAUCUACGAUAUUUAUAAGUGCAAUCGUAGUUGUCAUUCUGGUGCAAUGACUGUGGACAUUAUGUGUAAUAUUUUAUACAGUGGCUGCUGAGUUAUACUGUUUGGUACAAUGAUAAUAAAGCUUUAUGAUUCUGAUUUUGA